AUGGGCAUUCACGCGAAGUCCAAGUCCAACCGCGAGGUGGUGGAGUCCCUGUACGCCUCACUGGCCUGCGGCGACGCCGCAGCCGUGACGGUGUUGCUGGCGGCGGACCUAGACUGGUGGUUCCAUGGGCCACUCCGGUGCCAGCAUAUGCGACGCAUGCUAACCGGUGAGGCGGUGGGUGUCAUGGCGUUUCGGUUCGCGCCAACGCGGCUGGUAGAGGUUGGCUCCACCACAGAAGGCAACGAUGGGUGGGUGGUGGCGGAGGGUUGGGCCGGGGUUGGGGAGCGGGAUUACUGGGUGCACGCGUGGUGUCUCCGUGCAGGCGUCAUCACAAGUUUUCGUGAGUACUUCAACACUUCUGUCACCGUCAAGGAGCUGGGUCGGCCCGCCACAGAGGACGUGGUAUGGGCUGUGUGGGAAAGCCAAUCGCCCAAGCCCAAGGGCCACUCCAUGCCGGGCCUAGUGCUCGCGAUUUGA
This 477-nucleotide ribosomal RNA is filed under the name Triticum aestivum (bread wheat). RNAcentral's name for it is "partial small subunit ribosomal RNA". Lineage: Eukaryota; Viridiplantae; Streptophyta; Magnoliopsida; Poales; Poaceae. The record is from RNAcentral.